UCAAGCUACAAAGAGCACAAGGGGAAUGCCUUGGCACCGAGAGCCGAAGAAGGACGUGACUAACUGCGAUAAGCUGCGGGGAGCCGUAAGUGGGCUUUGAUCCGCAGAUUUCCGAAUGGAGCAAUCCGGCAAGAGGAAAGUCUUGUCAUCAUAUACUGAAUACAUAGGUAUAUGAGGGGAACCGCCUGAACUGAAACAUCUAAGUAGGGCGAGGAAGAGAAAUCAACUGAGAUUCCGUAAGUAGUGGCGAGCGAACGCGGAAGAGGCCAAACCGAGAGUAGUAAUACUUUCGGGGUUCGGACAGAAUACGGCAUUGUAAAGGUUUAGUGGAAUGGAAUGGGAAGUCCAACCGAAGAAGGUGAGAGUCCUGUACACGAAAAGCCUGAACAGCCAUCUGUAUCCAGAGUACCGCCGGACACGUGAAACCCGGUGGGAAUACGGGGGGACCAUCCUCCAAGCCUAAAUACUACUCGGUGACCGAUAGUGAAGAAGUACUGUGAAGGAAAGGUGAAAAGUACCCCUGACGGGGAGUGAAAAAGAACCUGAAACCUUGUGUUUACAAGCACCGAAAGCUCAUCAAAGAGCGAUCGGGUACCUUUUGUAGAAUGGUCCGGCGAGUGAAUGUAACCGGCGAGGUUAAGCACUUAAGGUGUGAAGCCGCAGCGAGAGCAAGUCUGAAUAGGGCGUAUGAAGUCGGUUGUAUUCGACCCGAAACCGGGUGACCUACCCAUGGUCAGGUUGAAGUAAAGGUAAAACUUUAUGGAGGACCGAACCGACUCCCGUUGAAAUGGUAGCGGAUGAACUGUGGGUAGCGGAGAAAUUCCAAUCGAACCCGGAGAUAGCUGGUUCUCUCCGAAAUAGCUUUAGGGCUAGCCUUGAAAUAGAUUACCGGAGGUAAAGCACUGAAUUGGCUAGGGGCCGAGAGGUUACUGAACCUUAUCAAACUAAGAAUGCCGGAUAAUCGUUUUUCAGGAGUCAGACAGUGGGAGAUAAGUUUCAUUGUCAAAAGGGAAACAGCCCAGACCCACAGCUAAGGUCCCCAAGUAUAGUUAAGUGGAAAAGGAUGUGGAAUUGCACAGACAACCAGGAUGUUGGCUUAGAAGCAGCCACUCAUUAAAAGAGUGCGUAAUAGCUCACUGGUCGAGUGACUCUGCGCCGAAAAUUUAACGGGGCUAAACUAUACACCGAAGCUUGGGAUACAUCUAAUGUAUGGUAGGAGAGCGUUCUGUAUGGGGAGAAGUCGUAGCGAAAGCGGCGGUGGACUAUACAGAAGUGAGAAUGCCGGAAUAAGUAGCGAGAAUUAAGUGAGAAUCUUAAUGGCCGAAAGUCUAAGGUUUUUGGAGGAAGGUUCGUCCGCUCCAAGUAAGUCGGGAGCUAAGGUCAGGCCGAAAGGCGUAGCCGAUGCACAUACGGUUGAUAUUCCGUAACCAUCUGUAAUUUAAGCAAAGGGACACUUCAAAAGGGUGUGACCCGGGCGUUGGUUGACCCGGGCGUAAGGGACCGAAAUUAGAGUAGGGAAGCACACUUGGCUGAAGGCGAGAAAAGCUUUGCGUAUAGAAACAGAUGCCCGUACCGCAAACCGACACAGGUGGACAGGAAGAGAAUUCUAAGGCCAGCGGGAGAAGGGUAGUUAAGGAACUCGGCAAAUUGACUCCGUAACUUCGGAAUAAGGAGUGCUCGAAAGAGCCGCAGAGAAUAGGCCCAGGCGACUGUUUAGCAAAAACACAGGUCUCUGCCAAAUCGAAAGAUGAAGUAUAGGGGCUGACACCUGCCCGGUGCCGGAAGGUUAAGAGGAGGAGUGAGAGCUCCGAAUUGAAGCCCCGGUAAACGGCGGCCGUAACUAUAACGGUCCUAAGGUAGCGAAAUUCCUUGUCGGGU
Molecule: ribosomal RNA, 1878 nt
Filed under: human gut metagenome
Description: bacterial LSU rRNA
Rfam family: Bacterial large subunit ribosomal RNA
Source: RNAcentral